Molecule: unclassified non-coding RNA, 338 nt
Filed under: Hevea brasiliensis (rubber tree)
Lineage: Eukaryota; Viridiplantae; Streptophyta; Magnoliopsida; Malpighiales; Euphorbiaceae
Source: RNAcentral
CAGACGACUCCACUCCACAGGCAGCUUGACCAGGGCUACACCUAAUCCUCCACACCAUCAGCAUCAUUGUAGAACUCUUCCUCUGAUGAAUGAUUGCAAGGUGAGUAUAUGACAUACUCAGCAAGCCACGCAGCAAAUAUGCAAGUGCACAGGAUAACAAAGGAUGGCAUAAUAGGGUUUCAUUUGCAAAAGCAGCAUUUAGCAAACAUUUGAGAAUUUAAUAAAACAGUUAAGUAUUAAACAAUAUUAAUCCAACGCUAUACAACAUACCCUGUUGUAUAGGCCCAACCAUUCUGAACAACCAUCCCGGCUGCACAGUUCUAUCUCCAAACCAGGAA